This is a long non-coding RNA of Cryptomeria japonica (Japanese cedar), 205 nucleotides long. RefSeq lists it as uncharacterized. Lineage: Eukaryota; Viridiplantae; Streptophyta; Pinopsida; Cupressales; Cupressaceae. The transcript is spliced from 2 exons. The record is from RefSeq and is a predicted model, not a curated record.
GAAGGGAACACCGUUAGUAGAGAGAAAGCAAAUAUAAGGAAAGCAAAUUGAACAAAUCAAGCACUUUGCAAAGAAAGGUUAUUCUACCUUGGCAAUUCUAUUAGGGCUAUUUUCUUGGUUUCUAUACGAAAUGGCAAACCAGGUAUUUAUGUUGUUAUUUUUGGUACUCGCAGUAUUUUUUAUAUUUGAGACUGAACUUGAACUA